UCCGAGUUGACCCCGGCAGUCUCCUACGAGUCCCCGGCAUUACCCGCUGGCAACAUAGGACAAGGGUUGCGCUCGUUGCGGGACUUAACCCAACAUCUCACGACACGAGCUGACGACAGCCAUGCAGCACCUGUGCACGGACUCCGAAGAGGAACCGAUGUUUCCACCGGCUUUCCCGUGCAUGCCAAGCCCAGGUAAGGUUCUUCGCGUUGCAUCGAAUUGAGCCACAUACUCCACCGCUUGUGCAGGCCCCCGUCAAUUUCUUUGGGUUUUAACCUUGCGACCGUACUUCCCAGGCGGCACGUUUAACGCGUUGGCUACGCCACAAAAGGGGUCGAUUCCUUUUACAGCAAACGUGCACCGUUUACAGCUAGGACUAC
RNAcentral lists this unclassified non-coding RNA (380 nucleotides) under uncultured bacterium. Its description in RNAcentral is "contains 16S-23S intergenic spacer region". The record is from RNAcentral.